Molecule: long non-coding RNA, 452 nt
Filed under: Cricetulus griseus (Chinese hamster)
Lineage: Eukaryota; Metazoa; Chordata; Mammalia; Rodentia; Cricetidae
Description: lncRNA (ENSCGRG00015042867.1)
Source: RNAcentral
AAAAAACUGCUGGAGGAUUGUAUCCUGCUGAACCAACACCUGGAGGGCUUGAGAGUCCUCUGCGAGGAAGAAGAAGAAGAAGAGACCAGUGACCUACAACAGGAGCUCAAGAGAUUAGAGAAAACACUUGAGUUCCUGAUGAAGCAGAAAGAGACUGUCAUCCAGGAAAUUGACUUGGCAGAAAAGCUGCAGCAUCACCUGGAGGUCUCCCAGAUGAGGUCCACAACCAUUCAGACUGAGCUGGAACAGACCACAUCCCAGGAUUAGAGCCACUUGACAAAGGAGCUGCUGCAGCAAGAGCCACCUGCUGAGUCACAUCCCUGGAAAGAUUGAAUUCUCCCUCAGCCUUGAGGGAGAAUAUGACAGAUAAAGCCCAAUAGAGGAAAGGCAAUAGUCAUCUUGAAAGAGUGUCACAUCUGUAGACUCCCUUGCUCCUGUGAAUGCAAGGCCAG